GGGAGGUUGGCGGUGGACGAGACUCUCGCCAACCCGGUCAGAUCCGGAAGGAAGCAGCCGUAACGAGCCCGUUUCGGGUCGCGUGUCAGCCUCCCACU
Molecule: signal recognition particle RNA, 98 nt
Filed under: Phreatobacter sp.
Lineage: Bacteria; Pseudomonadati; Pseudomonadota; Alphaproteobacteria; Hyphomicrobiales; Phreatobacteraceae
Also listed under: 1 other name
Description: signal recognition particle sRNA small type
Rfam family: Bacterial small signal recognition particle RNA
About the family: The signal recognition particle (SRP) is a universally conserved ribonucleoprotein involved in the co-translational targeting of proteins to membranes. Archaeal SRP consists of a 7S RNA and homologues of the eukaryotic SRP19 and SRP54 proteins. In most bacteria, the SRP consists of a 4.5S RNA and the Ffh protein (a homologue of the eukaryotic SRP54 protein).
Source: RNAcentral